Molecule: long non-coding RNA, 1438 nt
Organism: Etheostoma spectabile (orangethroat darter)
Lineage: Eukaryota; Metazoa; Chordata; Actinopteri; Perciformes; Percidae
Exons: 2
Source: RefSeq, a predicted model, not a curated record
AUUCUGCACCAAGGCUGAAUUUUGGGAAAGAGACGUCAGAUAUGGUAUCAGGGCACCACUAAGGUCUAUAUAUAAAUAUCCAAAAAGCACCAUGUCAUGGGACCUUUAACAAAAAUCCCCCGUAUUGUUGAACAUUUUCUUAACUGUUUGUACACAAGGACAAGUCAUUCACAGUAGGGGUGGGAAUCUCUGGGCGCCUCAUGAUUCAAUUCCCAUUCAGAGGCUAAUGAUUUGAUUCUAAACCAAUCAAUUAUUAUUUUUUUCUGUACAUUUCCAUGUACGAUGUACUCAGUUUGGUAAUCACUUCCUAGACAAAGCUUGGAUUUUGACAUAUUUGUCACUAUAGUUUAAAUGAAAUGUUUUGUCUACUGAGGUUUUAUAGUGUAGUCAUUCCAUGCUCAAGCCUUCAACAUGCUUGUGAACGUCCCCUUCUCUCUCACUGAUCCUCCAUGUCAGAGGCUCAGACGUGUUUAAAGCCGGAGAACUGGCUUCUUGGAACAGGAAACAUGAGUCAGAGGUUCUGAAUGAGGAGUUCAAAGUCUACUUACUGGUUUUCUUCCAGAGCUUUCAGCCUGAACGGGUUGCCUUCAUCAGCUAAUGUAAGGACAAUAUAUUUAUAAUGAAAUACAUCAUUACAUAGACAACUAUAGUGAUUAUUAUACAUAAAUCUAAUUAUAAUGCCUAGUUCAUAUUUAUACAUUACAAAUCACUCAUCUGUUUAUGCACCAGGCGCAAAUGCUUCACAGGAGAAGUCAUAAUUGUUGACUAAUGUAAUUAUAUCCGCUUAACUAUAUGUUAGUGUUUAUAUAAUGCUUAUAAGUGUGAAAUGGAAGGGUAACCAUGCGUCCUUCUACCGACUGUAUAUAGUUUCUAGCUAGAGUUCAGUUUCCUGUACAUUUCACCAGAGCUAAGUCCGUAGGUCCAGUUUGUUAUACACAUCUAAUAACAGGGUUCUACUGUCUGUUGUAAAUAACAGGUAUAGUGGAUUCACUGCCCUGUUAAUUUUCUAAUGCCUUUUACACUGAUUAAAUGCCUUUUUAAGUUUUUUCCAAUUGUGUCACCAGGUGUUUCUUUAGUGUCGUAGAAUGUAUUUAUUGAGCAGAGUAACUUGUCUAAUUGCUGAGCUUAAGCCAGAUGUACUGUCAUUUCUAUUAGCUAUUGUGGUUUCCAUUUAGCAAUGCCAGACAGCAUUGUAAUACAAAUUCUGUUCAUUCAGAUUCAUGAGUUCUUUGAAGGGAAUAUAGUUGGUCUGUGGGUUCACUUAAACAAGGUCAACUUUUUUUUUUUUUUCUUGACAUGCAAGGUGUAGGUAUAAGAGUUAAUCUCUUCAGACAUUACAUUUCUUUUUCAAGUUGAAUGAUCACUUUAAAAAUGAUUGUAAUUUUCACUGCGAUCCAGAUGUCACCUUCAUGUGCUUAAUAAAGAAACUUUGGCCAAA